UUCAGACUGCAGGAACAGCCAGCACCAGAGAUAUCUCCUGCAAGGCCUCCUAGGUGGGUUCUUGGAAGAAAGGAAUGCCAAUGAAUAUGAUUGCAAGGGACAGAUGACCAAACCUUGCAGACAGCAGCGGGAGCUGGAGGGACUUUGUUGAGGACUGGGACCCAGGUGUGGUUGCUGCAAUGCCCUCUGCUUUGGCAGAGAAAAGAUGCAGAUUCCCAGGUCACACCAAGUGACCUCUCCAGAACCUGGAACAGCCUCUGUGUGGACUGCCAUGGGAGAGCUGGAGCCACCACAGAAUCUUGCUCACCCCAGGGAGGUGGCAGCAAUAGGAUCAUCAUGACUUUUCACCUUGACCUUUCACCACAGCCUGACCCCUCCAAGGUGGGAGUGAGCACAAUGGCACAGGGGUUGGGGGUCU
This 418-nucleotide long non-coding RNA is filed under the name Homo sapiens (human). Its description in RNAcentral is "HSALNT0241058". The record is from RNAcentral. Lineage: Eukaryota; Metazoa; Chordata; Mammalia; Primates; Hominidae.